GACGAACGCUGGCGGCGUGCUUAACACAUGCAAGUCGAACGGAAAGGCCCUGCUUUUGUGGGGUGCUCGAGUGGCGAACGGGUGAGUAACACGUGAGUAACCUGCCCUUGACUUUGGGAUAACUUCAGGAAACUGGGGCUAAUACCGGAUAGGAGCUCCUGCUGCAUGGUGGGGGUCGGAAAGUUUCGGCGGUUGGGGAUGGACUCGCGGCUUAUCAGCUUGUUGGUGGGGUAGUGGCUUACCAAGGCUUUGACGGGUAGCCGGCCUGAGAGGGUGACCGGCCACAUUGGGACUGAGAUACGGCCCAGACUCCUACGGGAGGCAGCAGUGGUGAAUAUUGCACAAUGGGCGGAAGCCUGAUGCAGCAACGCCGCGUGCGGGAUGACGGCCUUCGGGUUGUAAACCGCUUUCGCCUGUGACGAAGCGUGAGUGACGGUAAUGGGUAAAGAAGCACCGGCUAACUACGUG
Molecule: ribosomal RNA, 468 nt
Filed under: uncultured bacterium
Lineage: Bacteria
Description: partial 16S ribosomal RNA
Rfam family: Bacterial small subunit ribosomal RNA
Source: RNAcentral